This is a long non-coding RNA of Lotus japonicus, 1375 nucleotides long. RefSeq lists it as uncharacterized. The transcript is spliced from 2 exons. Lineage: Eukaryota; Viridiplantae; Streptophyta; Magnoliopsida; Fabales; Fabaceae. The record is from RefSeq and is a predicted model, not a curated record.
GAAACCAGGUGGGGGCAAUUUAUACAUAAUCAUAUCAGAAGAAAAAUUAUGUGAUGGGGGCAUUGGUAUACAAUAUAUACAUGAUCAGAAGAAAAAUUACGUGGGGUCAAAUGCCCCUAUAGUGUCUAACGUAGAUCCGUCUCUGCCAGACACUAACUCUUCUCGCCCCAAAACCUGUGAAGUCUCGUCCCGAACCCUAUAAACUCCCUUGACUAUGACACCAACUUAGGGUCCACAAGUAUUAUACACUUAAGGCUUCUCAACUUUGAAAAUUUUCAAGAGAUUCUUCUCUUAUGGAUUCUAUUGAGAAUUAUCAAGCAAAGCUUGGUGGCUUCUCCUCCUAGACUUAUGACUCUUAGAGUUUGGAACCAUAAUCACCUCUACCUUUCACUUUGAUGUUUCUUCCCUUUUUGUUUUGAAAAAGAGAAGUAAAUAUCAACCUCUCUCAACAUGGGUAAAGCAACAUGGCCAACAAAUUAAAAAGGCAACCAAAAACAUGCAACCAACAACAAAAACCCUUCCAAAAACCUCUAAAACCCCACAAACACCCAACCAACACCCAUCCAAAGAAUCCUAUAGAGCAAACCAAAACCCAACAUCAAGCCACCCGCCGUCAAAAGUUGAUAAACAUAAAAAUAGAAAGAAAAAAAAAACUAAGAGAACCAAUUGAAGCUUUAGAACCAACACGAAGCAAGGGGGAGCGAAAACCCAAGACCAAAGAUCCAAAAGCAUGAAAAGGUAAGGAGGAGCAUCAAAGAACCCAAAUCCACCACACUCGAGGUCAAACCCAAAAGGAACCACCCGAUCCGUGUUGGGAGACCAAGUCCCACCCAAAGAUGUUGCACCCAGUCAAGAUUUGUGCAAUGAGGGUGGAAACGGGACUAGUAGACUACCAUAUGACCAUCAAUAGGAAGGAACCUACUGAACAGAAUUCCACCAACCGUCGUUGAUCUAAUGAGAAACCCUUUGAAUCCUCAAUCCUCGAUCGCUCAAGGGAAGAGGUAAAUCUUCGCAGCCGCCAGAACGCACACUGCCCAAGGAGCGACACUUCAAGAAGACCAGCGAACAUGGCGAGGAAGGAUUAGAGGAAAGAUAAAAUGAAGAUGGAGAUAUUUGUUUGGAAGGGUGAAUUGAAGCUUGGAUGCUUGUUUGGAAGGGGGAAUUGAAUCUUGAUAUGCUUGAUGAAAGUGCAGUGACCGAAUUCAUGAGUGUACAAGAAGUACAAUCAAUGAGGGUUGUCUCCAUGUGGAACAUGAAGAUGAAUACAAAAGCUAAGAUGACCUACGACCUAAAAGUUAAGCUGGUACGUAGCUUAUGUUAUUUUGUCUUAAGGAGGAAUAAAAACGAAAAGGAAAUAAGAUUGAGGGGUUCAUUA